CACCAGACUCCUACGGGAGGCAGCAGUGGGGAAUAUUGCGCAAUGGGCGAAAGCCUGACGCAGCGACGCCGCGUGAGGGAUGAAGGUCUUCGGAUCGUAAACCUCUGUCAGCAGGGAGGAACGGUCACUGUGCUAAUCAGCAGUGAAUUGACGGUACCUGCAAAGGAAGCACCGGCUAACUACGUGCCAGCAGCCGCGGUAAUACGUAGGGAGCAAGCGUUAUCCGGAUUUACUGGGUGUAAAGGGCGUGUAGGCGGGCCUGCAAGUCAGAAGUGAAAUCUGGGGGCUUAACCCCCAAACUGCUUUUGAAACUGUGGGUCUUGAGUGAUGGAGAGGCAGGCGGAAUUCCCAGUGUAGCGGUGAAAUGCGUAGAUAUUGGGAGGAACACCAGUGGCGAAGGCGGCCUGCUGGACAUUAACUGACGCUGAGGCGCGAAAGCGUGGGGAGCAAACAGGAUUAGAUACCCGUGUA
Molecule: ribosomal RNA, 471 nt
Filed under: uncultured bacterium
Lineage: Bacteria
Description: bacterial SSU rRNA
Rfam family: Bacterial small subunit ribosomal RNA
Source: RNAcentral